This is a non-coding RNA of Acanthosepion pharaonis, 111 nucleotides long. The record is from the annotation of a GenBank genome assembly. NCBI's taxonomy places the organism in Eukaryota, Metazoa, Mollusca, Cephalopoda, Sepiida, Sepiidae.
UGGCCACAUUACAUUGAAACACAGGUUCCUGUAUGAUCACCAAAGCUAAGCAAUGUUGAGCCUGACCAGUAACUAGAUGGGUGACCACUUGGGAAUACCAGAUGCUGUAAG